This is a non-coding RNA of Arachis ipaensis, 783 nucleotides long. Lineage: Eukaryota; Viridiplantae; Streptophyta; Magnoliopsida; Fabales; Fabaceae. The record is from RefSeq and is a predicted model, not a curated record.
GUAAAUGUUAGUAUCACCACUAUCUUGAACAUAUUAUAUAUAAGGUAUUUUCAUAAUUGCUAUUCAGUAAUUUUUCUUUUUCAUGUUUCUAUUGUUCAUUAUUUUCUUCUGAUUUUGAAUUUAGUGUUAAUUCUGGUCCACAACGUCAACUCUUCUGAUAAGAUGCCUCUUGGUCUCUGAUUUUUAAUGUAGGCUGUCUUUAGAUUGACACAACUAGAUAGAGUAGCAGAGUAUUUAUCACAUCAUAUUAGGGAGCAUCAUGAAUAAUGAGUUGGUUGAUAUGGAUUCUAUAGCAUAGCCAUACCAACAUCGCUCACUUUUAACCUUACAACUUCAUCUAAUACUUUUAGAAGGACCCUGAAGGUGAUGGGAGUUCUGCCGUGCACAUUUAUUGCAAAGAAUUGAAUAACCUCAUGUUGGAGGUUUUGAAAAGAGGGCUGAGAAUGAAGGAAAAUGGAGUGUUGGUAUCUGACAAGACCAUGUAGAGGAAGCUGCAAAAGUUUUGGAGCCACUAAGGGCACCCAACUCUUAUACUAAGAUAACUCUUAUACUAAGAUAGUUUUGGCUUGAAGCUGCUCGCAUUGUUGAAUUCCAUUCAAAUGUCAAACUGGACAGAAGCUCUUGAAGUGAUGAUUAUAUUCCCUUUUGUACUAGAAGAUUAUGUUUGAAGUUAUCUUAGCCUGUUUUUCAUGAUCUAACCAAAGAUAGAGUGGUAACUUAUAAUAUGCGGUCAAACUUUUUUAAGUAGUUCUAUUAUUUUAAAUGUUUUACCUGCUUAAUUUU